AAUUAAUAAUUAAAAUUAAAUAAAUAAAUAAUUAAAUUAAAUUUAGAACCUUCUGGAAUAAAAGAACUGGCCCAGGACGGGGCUUGAACCCGCAACCUCCGCUUGCCGUGCGGUGCGCUAUCAGUUAUGCCACCCGGACCCCGAGCAAGCCUUUGCUUCCAGAGGUAUAUUAGAUUAGAUAUAACCUUACUUGGUUAAAUACAUCACUGACUGGGGGCGACUUCAUCGCCCACGACCCUCAAUGGCACUCAGCCAGCUAACGUAACACCCGGCGAGGUAUAUAUAUAUAAAUAACAUCAACAUAAAGCCCGAUUGGUAUACAUAUAAAACUUCCAAACGAUCGCCUGAAUAACGGGCUAUAAUAUGGCUACUUAAAAUGAUUAGAACCAAAGCAAUUUGUCUUAAGAGAACCUUCUGGAAUAAAAGAACUGGCCCGGGACGGGGCUCGAACCCGCAACCUCCGCUUACCGUGCGGUGCGCUACCAGUUACGCCACCCGGACCCCGAGCAAGCCUUCGCUUCCAGAAGUAUAUAUAAUAGAUUAGAUAUAACCUUACUUGGUUAAAUACAUCACUGACUGGGGGCGACUUCAUCGCCCACGACCCUCAAUGGCACUCAGCCAGCUAACGUAACACCCGGCGAGG
Long non-coding RNA from Centruroides sculpturatus (bark scorpion), 643 nucleotides. RefSeq lists it as uncharacterized. The record is from RefSeq and is a predicted model, not a curated record. Lineage: Eukaryota; Metazoa; Arthropoda; Arachnida; Scorpiones; Buthidae. The transcript is spliced from 2 exons.